Molecule: long non-coding RNA, 1362 nt
Organism: Hemicordylus capensis (graceful crag lizard)
Lineage: Eukaryota; Metazoa; Chordata; Lepidosauria; Squamata; Cordylidae
Exons: 9
Source: RefSeq, a predicted model, not a curated record
UGCCACAAGAUCUGCUCUCUUCCCUUUAAAAAUUAAAAUCAAUAUAAUUUUUGAUUUUUUUAAAAAAUAGUCCUCUUAUUUUCUGAUAGAGGAAACCUCUUGGUUCUCCAAAGGUCAAGAUGAGCGACUACGUGGCUUAUGGAGUUUGUAUUAACGGAAAGAUGUGAAAAUAUAGCAUGAAGAUCUGAUGUCCUCUUCUUAGUCCAAUAGCCUUCCAGCGUUCUGAACUCAUCACCCAGCUCCAGGAAGAUUCUGCAGAACACCAAUGGCUUGGAUCGCAUUGCCUGCUUACAAAGUGAGAGGGGCAAAUCCCAUGGAUGGAAAAGAGACCAUGAUGUCUUGCACUUGGAAUUGACCAGAACGGAAGUCACAGACAUUCAUUGGAAGCAAGAGACACCCCUUCCCACAGCGAACAAGGAACCAAACCAAAGAAAACUUCAAACCAAAACCCAACUGCUCAAACUGGUUCAACACUCCCAACUGUAAAAGCUGUUUGAUAGUGGAAUGGUUUGCCUCCUGCCAUGAUGUCGUCUCCCUUCGCUGGAGGUUUUCAAAAAACCUAGAAGGCCACCUCUCUCUCAGUGACACUGUAGCCGUUGCCUACACUGUGCAGGCGGGUGGAUAAAAAGACGUCAAAAGACCAUUUCAGGAUUACAAGAAACACCGCCACUUAAACAGCCACCAGCUGAAAGUCACUGGACCAAUUGCUGAUGCUGGCCAAGCUGGAAUCUUUCCUGCCGACCACAACCUGUUGCCUGGAACGCACCCGGGCUGUGCAAAAACAGAGCAAGCCAUCCCCGACCCAACUCUCGAUGCUGCCACUCUCUCUGGAGAAAUCACGUUUGAUCGUCAAUAAUCUAGAGCUAAAAGGGAUGGCAGCUGGAGCAGCAGAACGAGUGACGCUUGAAAUGUGAAUGCCGGCCGUGGAAGGUGUACGAGCCACCAAGAACUUUGGUUCUGUCAGGAUUUGGAGGCUUCCUGAAAAAGGUUCUCCUUGGGGCAUUCAACCUGCUACCCCUGCUGACUGAGCAGAGAGGUGGAAAUUCCUCUCCCAACAUGGCACCUGCUGGGACAUACACAUUUAUAAACCAACCAUGUCCACUUGCUAUGGGAGGAAAGCACCAACCACACAGCAUUUGACUUGACUAGUAAAUACAGCUCAGCGUGGAGAUGCUUCAGCACCAUGAACAGCUCCCCACUUGGUCUGGGGUAUUUCAUCCCUGCCUCUCCUCUUGCUGAGUUUGAACCUGGUGGAUCCUGACAGCUCAUCAGUCUUGUGAACUUUGGAAACAACCAUGAUUUAAUGCCUGAGAGCUAAAGUUAGACACAUUCAGCCUUGAAAUAAGGUGCAACCACAGCACG